CCCUUAGAUGUUCUGGGCGGCCCGCGCACUACAAUGGCGUGUGCAGCGAGUGCCGAAGUAGAGUUUUCCGAGGUAUUCUUGCAAUGCUCGUUUUGAUGGGGAUAGACCCUUGCAACUGUUGGUUUUGAACGAGGAAUUCCUUGUAAGCAUGGUUUAUCAUCCGACGCUGAAUGCGUCCCUGCCCUUUGUACACACCGCCCGUCGCUCCUACCGAUUGAAUGUUCCGGUGAGCUCUUCGGACUGCGCGGUCUGCAGUUUCUGCGUUCCGUGCGGAAAGUUGUGCAAACCUUAACAUUUAGAGGAAGGAGAAGUCGUAACA
Molecule: ribosomal RNA, 319 nt
Filed under: uncultured eukaryote
Lineage: Eukaryota
Description: partial 18S ribosomal RNA
Rfam family: Eukaryotic small subunit ribosomal RNA
Source: RNAcentral